Molecule: long non-coding RNA, 243 nt
Filed under: Trifolium pratense (red clover)
Lineage: Eukaryota; Viridiplantae; Streptophyta; Magnoliopsida; Fabales; Fabaceae
Description: long non-coding RNA (TPRA_LNC004931)
Source: RNAcentral
GGGAGGAUGCGAAUGAGGUGGAAGAUUGGAUCUAUUGAUGCGGCGGAGGAUGAGUCAGUUACGGUGGUGGUUGAGGUUUGUUGAACCGGGUUCUCCGAUUUGGUUCGCAUUUUCGGGUUGGGGUUAAUGUGGAAAUGAAGAGUGGUGAAUUUAUGUUAGUUUGUGAGUGCUGGUGUUAUUUCUUUGAUUGAAGUAGAAAGAUGGAACCGCAAGUGGAAAGUGAUUUUUUUUAUUUGUUUUUUU